RNAcentral lists this ribosomal RNA (659 nucleotides) under bacterium. RNAcentral describes it as "bacterial SSU rRNA". It matches the Rfam family "Bacterial small subunit ribosomal RNA", at positions 85 to 779 of the family's 1533-position model. The record is from RNAcentral.
CUUCGGAGCAGUGGCGGACGGGUGAGUAACGCGUGGGAAUAUGCCCUUUGGUACGGAACAACUGAGGGAAACUUCAGCUAAUACCGUAUGUGCCCUUCGGGGGAAAGAUUUAUCGCCAUUGGAGUAGCCCGCGUUGGAUUAGCUAGUUGGUGAGGUAAAGGCUCACCAAGGCUACGAUCCAUAGCUGGUCUGAGAGGAUGAUCAGCCACACUGGGACUGAGACACGGCCCAGACUCCUACGGGAGGCAGCAGUAGGGAAUCUUGCGCAAUGGGCGAAAGCCUGACGCAGCCAUGCCGCGUGAAUGAUGAAGGUCUUAGGAUUGUAAAAUUCUUUCACCGGGGAAGAUAAUGACGGUACCCGGAGAAGAAGCCCCGGCUAACUUCGUGCCAGCAGCCGCGGUAAUACGAAGGGGGCUAGCGUUGCUCGGAAUUACUGGGCGUAAAGGGCGCGUAGGCGGACAGUUUAGUCAGAGGUGAAAGCCCAGGGCUCAACCUUGGAAUUGCCUUUGAUACUGGCUGUCUUGAGUUCGGGAGAGGUGAGUGGAAUGCCGAGUGUAGAGGUGAAAUUCGUAGAUAUUCGGCGGAACACCAGUGGCGAAGGCGACUCACUGGCCCGAUACUGACGCUGAGGCGCGAAAGCGUGGGGAGCAAACAGGAUU